This 428-nucleotide ribosomal RNA is filed under the name uncultured archaeon. RNAcentral describes it as "bacterial SSU rRNA". It matches the Rfam family "Archaeal small subunit ribosomal RNA", at positions 474 to 903 of the family's 1478-position model. The record is from RNAcentral.
UACCUGCAGCUCAAGUGGUGGCCGUUAUUAUUGGGCCUAAAACGUCCGUAGCCGGUUUAUUAAAUGCCUGGGUAAAUCGGGCCGCUCAACGGUUCGAAUUCCGGGUAGACUGAUAGACUUGGGACCGGGAGAAGCUAGAGGUACUCCUGGGGUAGAGGUGAAAUUCUGUAAUCCUAGGGGGACCACCAGUGGCGAAGGCGUCUAGCUAGAACGGGUCUGACGGUGAGGGACGAAGCCCUGGGGCGCAAACCGGGAUUAGAUACCCGGGUAGUCCAGGGUGUAAACGCUGCUUGCUUGAUGUUAGUCGGGCUCCGAGCCCGAUUAGUGUCGGAGAGAAGUUGUUAAGCAAGCUGCCUGGGAAGUACGGCCGCAAGACUGAAACUUAAGGAAUUGGCGGGGAGCACAGCAACGGGUGGAGCGUGCGGUUU